RNAcentral lists this ribosomal RNA (446 nucleotides) under uncultured bacterium. Its description in RNAcentral is "partial 16S ribosomal RNA". It matches the Rfam family "Bacterial small subunit ribosomal RNA", at positions 338 to 795 of the family's 1533-position model. The record is from RNAcentral.
CCUACGGGGGGCAGCAGUCGAGAAUUAUUCACAAUGGGGGAAACCCUGAUGGUGCGACGCCGCGUGGGGGAAUGAAGGUCUUCGGAUUGUAAACCCCUGUCAUGUGGGAGCAAAUUAAAAAGAUAGUACCACAAGAGGAAGAGACUGCUAACUCUGUGCCAGCAGCCGCGGUAAUACAGAGGUCUCAAGCGUUGUUCGGAAUCACUGGGCGUAAGGCGUGCGUAGGCUGUUUCGUAAGUCGUGUGUGAAAGGCGCGGGCUCAACCCGCGGACGGCACAUGAUACUGCGAGACUAGAGUAAUGGAGGGGGAACCGGAAUUCUCGGUGUAGCAGUGAAAUGCGUAGAUAUCGAGAGGAACACUCGUGGCGAAGGCGGGUUCCUGGACAUUAACUGACGCUGAGGCACGAAGGCCAGGGGAGCGAAAGGGAUUAGAUACCCUGGUAGUC